AGCCCACCUCCCACCCGUGUUUACUGUACCUUAGUUGCUUCGGCGGGCCCGCCAUUCAUGGCCGCCGGGGGCUCUCAGCCCCGGGCCCGCGCCCGCCGGAGACACCACGAACUCUGUCUGAUCUAGUGAAGUCUGAGUUGAUUGUAUCGCAAUCAGUUAAAACUUUCAACAAUGGAUCUCUUGGUUCCGGCAUCGAUGAAGAACGCAGCGAAAUGCGAUAACUAGUGUGAAUUGCAGAAUUCCGUGAAUCAUCGAGUCUUUGAACGCACAUUGCGCCCCCUGGUAUUCCGGGGGGCAUGCCUGUCCGAGCGUCAUUGCUGCCCAUCAAGCACGGCUUGUGUGUUGGGUCGUCGUCCCCUCUCCGGGGGGGACGGGCCCCAAAGGCAGCGGCGGCACCGCGUCCGAUCCUCGAGCGUAUGGGGCUUUGUCACCCGCUCUGUAGGCCCGGCCGGCGCUUGCCGAACGCAAAUCAAUCUUUUUCCAGGUUGACCUCGGAUCAGGUAGGGAUACCCGCUGAACUUAAGCAUAUCAAUAAG
Molecule: ribosomal RNA, 536 nt
Filed under: Aspergillus flavus
Lineage: Eukaryota; Fungi; Ascomycota; Eurotiomycetes; Eurotiales; Aspergillaceae
Description: eukaryotic LSU rRNA
Rfam family: 5.8S ribosomal RNA (bases 161-314)
Source: RNAcentral